This is a long non-coding RNA of Pocillopora damicornis (cauliflower coral), 1293 nucleotides long. RefSeq lists it as uncharacterized. Lineage: Eukaryota; Metazoa; Cnidaria; Anthozoa; Scleractinia; Pocilloporidae. The record is from RefSeq and is a predicted model, not a curated record.
GAAAGGACUUCUACCUUGGUAACCGGGCCUGAGGUUCAUUUAUGUUUUUCAGGAUCUUUUUGUGGCUUCUGAGGUUUAAAGGAAGAAAAAAAAGGUUUUAGCGCACACCGCUGGCCUCAAACACAAGCUUGAACACGUUUUCGGAGGAGGAAACUGGUGACCAUUCCUGAUGCUGCUGUCUUAACUCCGCAGCUUUUUCAACCUGUUUCACAUCGCCCUUGGCUUGUUGCUGCGCUUCGACAUCCGAUAACAACUCUUUAAGUUCAUCUAUAUCUGAAGGCCUUGAAUAGUUGUGCUCCGGAACCAUUGUCUUUCUCCACGAUGAUAAUGACGAUGAUGAUGAUACUAAUGAUGAUGACGAGGAUGAUGAUGACGAUAAAUUUUCGUUAGGGUCAUCGUCUGCACAGCUGGGAGCCUUGCUAAACGCACCUGUUAGCGAUAAGAUGGACGAAGUUGAAAGCGCACUUACCUCUCCCCUAACCUACAUUAACCAAUCAUAUUUGACUGUUAGGGGUUGAUGCAGUUGCUCAGACUCUUACAUUUAUCCGCAGACUUCAGAUGUACUACGGGCACAAUACCGUGCAUGCACUACGGGCACUGUAGAUUACCUCAUCGACAAUUUCUUGAUCAAGCAGAAACUCAUAUAGAAGGCGGAGAAAGUAAUUUUUAAGCCUUUAACAGUUGUUGAGUUAGAGUACUCUUAACUUACUAGUUGUUUGAUUAAUUUGGUUUUAUAUUAUAGCUGAUUUCGAUCGAUACUUAAGUUCACUACUCGAGAAGUGUUAAAUGUCAUUUCACCGGCGAAUGUUAAAUGUUACUUUUGAGCACAGAAAUUAUUCAAGUGAAAUUUGUAAGGAACAAAUAAUAUGUAUUUGACCUGCCGUACAAUAACAAAAUGAUAUUUUUGACAUCGUGGACUACUUUUGUUUCGCAAUCAAAUCUGAGACCUGGCAGCAAGUUGAGGGAAAUCAAUUUCCGUUGUGAAUUGUCGUAAUUACUUCACAUGCGUCAAAAUAUGCCAUUUUGGAUGAAGCUAAGUAUAUUGCAAGUAGUCCUAGAUUUUCAUCUCAGUCUGAAGCGAGAGCCUUCAGUAAAAGACUGCAAAGGGUCCCGUACCACCUGACCCCUCUUGUUAAUAACACAAUUAUAAGGUCGGUUUCCCUUCGCGUUCGUAAGACUGUUAAAGAAAAACUAAAUCAAAAUAAAAGGCAGAUUAGAAGGGAACUAUAGUAAGUCAAGUAUGAGUAAGACUAUAAUUGUUAAACUCGAUUGUUCAAUAAAGAGAUUUGUUCA